Molecule: long non-coding RNA, 718 nt
Organism: Perognathus longimembris pacificus (Pacific pocket mouse)
Lineage: Eukaryota; Metazoa; Chordata; Mammalia; Rodentia; Heteromyidae
Exons: 2
Source: RefSeq, a predicted model, not a curated record
ACAGAUUUUCCUGCCCAGGAUAGCUUUGAACUGCAAUCCUCAGAUCUCAGCCUCCUGAGUAGCUAGGAUCACAGGUGAGCCACUGGUGCCUGGCAGGUUCAAGACAUUUUUUUUUUUUUUUUUGUAGGUGUAAUCCACAUGGGCUAAGGCUCUGUCAGACCUGUAUUAAUUUUGUAGUUGUGACACUUAACUGCUUGAGGGCUAGCUAAAUAGAGAAAGAUGAUAGAUUUUAGUAAGUUAAUUUUAUAUCAGAUGCUAAAUUUUCCUCUCAGUUCUAAGUCCUAUCUUUCAGGUCCUGUUAAAAUUUUUAGGGAGGUUUAAGACUUAAUAUCUGAUAGCUUGUAGCUUGAGACUUUUGUAUCACAUUGGGCCUGACUAUAAAGGUGGUGGAACAGAUGGUGAGUUGAGGUUCAGAGAUGGAGAACUUUAGAGGAGAAUCUCGGUUCACCACAAAUUCUGCUGCACAUUUAAUCACCUGAUUGAUGAAUUUAGUGGGCAUAAGAUUGAGCCUGUAGGGCUCCCUCCACCAGGUGCUUUGUGUGGCAUGUUUAUACCAGCAAAAGAAAGGAAAUGAUAAGCACAGUGCUCUUAAGUGCACAAAUAAAUGUCCCAGAAUGAAACAAUAUGCAGCUCAUGAUUUAAUGUUUGGGGCUUCUGUGUGUAUACAUUUGACAAGUUUGGAAUAAACACAUUCCUAAUAAGUCAUGCCAUAAACCUA